Molecule: non-coding RNA, 8706 nt
Organism: Meleagris gallopavo (turkey)
Lineage: Eukaryota; Metazoa; Chordata; Aves; Galliformes; Phasianidae
Source: RefSeq, a predicted model, not a curated record
UCUGUGAUUCUCUCCACAGCAUGGAAGGGUCCAUUGUGCAGCUGCCAGAGAUAGUCUCCUUGAAGAAGAAAUACAAAGCCUACCUCUAUUUGGAUGAAGCUCACAGCAUUGGUGCAGUGGGGGCAACAGGACGAGGAGUUGUGGAGUACUUUGGUAUGAAUCCUGAUGAUGUUGACGUACUAAUGGGAACAUUCACAAAGAGCUUUGGUGCAGCUGGAGGAUACAUAGCUGGCAAAAAGGGCCUCGUGGACUUUUUACGAACUCAUUCUCACAGCGCUGUGUACGCCACAUCCAUGUGCCCACCUGUGGCAGAGCAAAUCAUCAGAGCAAUGAAGUGUCUCAUGGGGUUAGACGGAACAACGCAAGGGCUCCAGAGAGUGCGCCAGCUGGGGAAAAACACGAGAUACUUCAGAAGAAGACUGCACGAAAUGGGCUUCAUCAUCUAUGGCAAUGAUGAUUCUCCUGUGGUCCCGUUACUCCUUUAUAUGCCUGGUAAGAUAGGGGCUUUUGCAAGACGCAUGUUAGAAAAAAUAUCGGGGUUGUUGUGGUUGGGUUUCCAGCUACUCCUAUCACAGAGUCCAGGGCUCGGUUUUGUGUGUCAGCUGCACAUACACGGGAGAUGUUAGACACGGUUUUGAAUGCUCUGGAUGAAUUGGGUGAUUUUCUACAACUGAAAUAUUCACGAUAUUCCAAGUCAUCUCAUCCUGAACUGUAUGAAGAAAAUCGGUUUGAAUUUGAAGAUUAAGUUUUCCACCCAUGAAGAGAACAUUAUGAUGCUAUGAAAGGGGGGAAAACCCAAAAACCAAAUAUGAAUGCAUUUCUUCCCUUCUAAGGACAGUUUUUGUUUCUCAGUUAAUUGAAAGGAGGGAAAGCUUGGUUUUUGCAUUUUAUUGUAUCAAAUUUCUGUAUUUAAGAGACUGAAAUAUUGAUACAGAUUUGCCUCCCAGGAGAUCUGUUCUUCUUAUGGUAUUUUUUAUGCAGAAUGAAUGCAUCCAUUGAUCAUGUUGCUAGCGUACAGCUUUUGUUAUGGCCCCUUUUUAUGAAGAGGCUUCAGAUAGUCCUAAUUUUUGACUGAAAGAAUAAAGGUUAAAAACCAAAUGGAUCCAGUGUAGUAUGGCAGUAUAACUGAGCUUCAUCAGUGAAAUUGAAUUCUGUCUGCUGAAGAGCAUAAAUCAAGACAUCACUGUGGAUUGCUACAGAGCAGAAAGUGACCUCUUAACUAAUUUGCCCUAUCAUGCCUUUUCCCAGGGACAAAAAAAGUUAGAAGAUGGCUAAUGCUGAGAACAAGAAAAGUUACCUCAUCAGAUAUUUCUGACAGCAGAUUAUGGGAAAGAGGAAUGUCUUCUCCCCUCCACAGACCCUUUCUCUGCCACUUCAAUAUACUGUAAGCCUCAUAUUAUACAAAAGUUGGGGCUUAGAAAAAGAAAUGUUUUUAUCUAAUGCAUUUGACCUACAGCCUUCCCCAUCUUAUUAUGACGAGAGCUUCUCAGCAGGCUUGCUCCCUUUUCAUGUAGCAGCAGUAAAUAAUUUUAAUAACCAUUUAACUUUCCCGUAAAAAACUUGAUCAAAACAGUCAGAUACUCGCAGUUCACAAACUGCAGAUGACAUUUAUGGGCCCAUUCCUAAGUUUCCUGAACUACUUAUGGGCUUAAUAAGUUCACUAACAAGUACAUAAUGCCUAAGUUGUUAGUUAUACAGAAUUGUGACGUUUGGGAUACCGUGAGCAGUUCUCCCACCUGCUAAAUUGAGAGCUCCGCCAUUCCUAACUGCACUAAGGUCACCCACUUAAUAACAUUUCUUGAAAUGUUCUUGUCUGGUUUAUGCAUGUCAGGGAUUGUUUUGCUUGUCAGGCUGCAGGCUUUUUGAGUGGCUUAUUUUUCAAAUAAUUGAUUAUGUCAUCUGAGAGGAAGACGUCCUUGUUCUCCUUUCCACUGCUCAAAUGACAGAUGCUCAAAGAUGCUUGGAGGAAAUGUUAUAGUCUGCAGCUUCCCUGCAAUGCCUUCAGCAGCAGAACCGUCAGCCUUGUGUGGGCUGGGUAGUUGGAGGGAUAUUGUAGCUUUUUCCCUUUUCUGUGGUGUUGAAAAGUGGUUCUGCAGCUUUAAGAAUGAACUCCAAACCAUUCCACACUAUCAAAUGUCAUUGUAAACACAUCAGAUGAGAGAUGUUUAGGUUUCUGUUGCACAGAUGUACCACACUUUCAUGUUCUCUUGAAAGCUGUGGUGUAAACUUAACCCACAGCUGCAAUAUUAGAUUUAAGAACAGUACAAUUAAAUUGCGGAGUACCAAUUACACUAUAUUACUCUCUGCUUGUUAAAGCUGCUUUCAGGAUAUAACAAGGCUGAUUGGUUAUGAGGGGCCACUUUUUGUUGGGUUUUUGUUGUUGUUGUCAUGCAAGUUAAUAAAAAUCCAGUGGUGCUAUAACUUUAAGAACUGAUUACAACACAUUCCAUGAUAUCAGAUGUUGGCUUUAGGAAACAUAUAUCAAGGGCUGGGGUGGGACUAAGUUGUGUCAUAUGAUUCUUCGCUCUGGUAGAUGGACUAGAAAAGCACUGCAGAGGUCCAAGGGAGCUGCGUUUGUGGAUAAGAGCAAAUUCACUGUAUAAAUAUUAAAACAUCCUUGGACAUGGGACAUGGAAAAAUUAGGAAAGGUGGACUUUGUCUUUAAGUAACCUGGCGAUUUGUGAUUUGCAGCUUGGCUACAUGCAGGGUGAGUGCACUACUACAAAGGAGAUGGGCUGAGAAAUUUUCACAACCUGUUCUUCGAGGAAAAGUACUGAGCGUGAUAUAUUGCAUUUUGAUCUCCGUUGCCAAACAUCUGUGGCCAGAUCCUCAGUUGACUUCUGACCUUCCAUCUUGGGGUGUCUGGCCGUAGUUUAUAUUUCAGCAAGCAUUAUUAUACGUGCUGUUGCAGGCAGCAUGCUAUUUUCCUCAAAGUGAGGCCUGAGAUUGAUUAAGCUACAGAACGAUCACUUUUUGUCCCCCUAUAGGGGAAUGUUUUCUGUCUAAGGCUGAAUUCCUCCUGCCCUCAGAACAUUACUCUCUCUCAUAUUAAGGAGACAGGACAGCUAUUUUUCAGAGACUGUUGGUUGAUUUAUUAUAUGCUUUCUUCUGAUUUCUUCCAUCCCUUGCACAUUAGAGCAAGUACAGGCUGACUAUCCCUGGGCUUGGGGAAUGUUCUGGGAGAGGUCCCUGCCCCCCUGGUGCAAUAAUACAACCCCCAGGAACUCCAGAUUCUUAGAUUUUUCCCCAUGAGGCUGAGUUAUGGUCUGGCACUGGUUGUUCCACCAGUGUAAUUUCAGUGGAGAUUUUCCAGAUUUACAUCAAUUUUAGUAGAUUUAGAGCUGAUCACCACUUGGAAGACCCUAUUUUAGCUAGCUUAAGAAAAAACUGGUGGAGUAUUUAUUAGGGAAUUAGCACAUCUAGCAUAAGGAUCACAUUUCCUGCAAUAUACUCCAUCUUCAAGUGUGCAUGUUCUUGGGAGAUGUAGUUCUCUGUAAUUGUUUUAGAGGGUUUUGAAGAAUUGUUUUCAAUAAAUAAAAAUUGCUCAAGUCGUCAUAUUUUAACCCAGCAGAAAUGUAAGUAUGUGUCACCAACUUUUUGCUGGCAAACUACAGUUCCAGCAUCUCGUUAUCUUACCUAAAAUCUUGAUUGACCUUCAUGCAAGGGGAAGACUCCAGUUGUCUGUUUGACAAAGCAGCUGACUUGUUUGCUCUUUCCUGUACGUUUAUCCCACCUCAUCUUUCAGAAAGCCUACAUUUCCUGAGCUUAUCUUAUUUGACAAGGUGGUUCCCCCAUCCACUUCUCCCUCUUUACCUUGUUCUUUCUUUUCUGCAAGUUUCCAUCCUCCAGGUCUCAGGGAAAACACACAGCCACCUGCAUGGGACCUGAAAUGUGUUAUCACUGGAUUGUAGGCACUGCCUCUUUCUGCCUCGUUUUCCUGGUAUCCUCAUCAGCUUCUGCAGAUCUUAAUCAUUCAUUUUCACAUAAAAGUUUCCUACUGCUGUUGCUAAGUUUCUCAGCUGCACCACAUCUGACCUGCACAAGCUGCAGAACCAAGAGGGGUUUGACCUAUUACUCACACAGGUGUAGGUCAGGUUAUACCUUGCUUUGAAGUCAAUACCGUUAGUUUAAACCUGUAGCAACUGUAAGAGGGAUCUGUCUGUGAGGUGAGCUGCCUGCAUCUGUUACUGAGGGAUCUGAACACUGAUGUCUCCAGACUGUUUCACAGCUGCUGCUCUUCACAGAGGACCAUGACAUGGGAUUCAAUUUACUUAAGGUACGAUUUGAAUUUUCUUUCCCUUUUUCUUCUUUUUUCCAAAAUGUGUUUGCUUGAAUGGGCAUUGCAUAUUUCCCUGUCCUGCUGAGAUAGGGAAAAACAACAAAGUAGGAAGAAUGGCCUACACUAAAGGUGUUUCCUUGAAUGUGUAUUUUCUAGCCUCCUUAGAAAUGCAAUAGCAAUCUCUAAUAUAUGCUAAUCUGCUUUUUAUCUGUCCUUGAAGUUUAAUUGUUCUUAAACACAGAUCAGGACCAAAUUUUAAAGAAGCCACACUACUGGCUGAGAAAUGGCAGAUGCCAUCCCAAUAUUGGUAACUGAACAUUCCAGCCUCAAAGUAUUUUCUAAGAAUCUCAGAUCCCAAUGUUUCUCUUGUCUACUCACACAUCCAAUAUUGGUUGUGCUUGCUGCAGGCCAGUCACAAACUAAUGAGACUCUCGCUCUUUCCAUUAGUAAAACGGAGAUUCAGACUCAUCAGGACGGUCCCAAAGUGACCACAUGACUGACCACGUAAAAUAAGAAUUCAACAACAUCAGAAUGAGAGCAUGGGGCCUGAAUCAGACUGGAUGCUCAGCAGUCACCAAAGAGCUGAGCACGUCUCUUUUGACGCACUGACAGGACAUAGCAAGGAGCAGUGAUGAAUCCAUCACGUUUGUCAAAUGGAAAGGUAACAGAGAGGUAAAUGAACCGGAGAGACAUGGUAGAACAGAGUCUUAGCCUAGAUUUAAGUGUGUGCAAACAAUUUUUUUUUUUAUUAGCAUUGGAAGAGUUUUUUACAUUUUUUUAAAAUCAGGUUUGAGGAAAACUUGAUCUCUGAUAUUCAAAUUGUGACUGUGAGCUAGAGAUGCUAUAGUGCAUGUGUGCCUCCAAAUUGUUUAUGAUGAGAAGGCAGAAUAGAUGGAGUCUAUAGCAGAUGUCCCUGACGCUUAGUAUUCUCUUAUGUUGUAUAGACAGUCACACCUACCAGAUGCUGCACAAAGACCAAGUAGUAUUAAUUACUAUCAAUAGACCCAAGUUCAACAGCUUGAGCUGCAGGGAUAUCCAGGUUUGCAGUGAUGCUUGAGUCACCAUCUGCAGUGAACAGUAUUGGUGCUGAAAAUUGUUCAGAGGCAAUGCUAGUAAUAAUCAUGCACGGAGUCUUUGAUGAUUGUGAUGCCCUCACUGGGCAUCCUUGCUAAGGUGCCAAUGCUGCAGGUGGAUCUCUUUUUUUCAAGUACAGAAGGACAUGCUCUGUAGAUUAUUCCAGUAGAUAAGUUUCUUUCUGACAAACAAGCUCAACCAGAAGGUGUUGCCAUGAAAUCUGGACCUUUGAAGGUAAGUCAAGUACUUGCAGUAACAGAAGAAAUGUGAUUGGUGUCACUGUGAAACAACAGUGCCAGACAUGACAAGUGAAGUUUGCUUUUGUACCAUCCCACUGAGCAUUUCUCAAAGAACUUUCUGUGAAAAUUCUCUGCCUCUAUUACCCUGUGGGGUGUGUAUGUAUCUUCCAGUUUCUGGAGCACCAAAUUGAUCUCUCGUGCUACAGCAAAGUAUUAAGCAUCAUUCAUUAUGUCUGUAGUCCUUACCUACCAUAGCUCUAUUUCUACUCCCAGCACAGCAAACAGCAAGUCUGUUUUAUCUGGUGAGAGCACAGCAUGAAGUGGGCUGCUGAGCCUACUGGCUUCCAGCAUGACGCUCUCUAUAGUCCCAGGCAGUGCAGUGAGUAAAUGGCUCUUGGCACAGGCUGGCUUUUGCUGUGCUGCAGGUGGUAGCCUCUUAUCUGAAGUGGGUUCCUCAUCUGCUGACCUUUCCAGCAGCUGUUCUGGAAUAGCACAGAAGUGAUGAAAUCAGUGGGAAUGUGUCCUACCAUCCCCGUGUUACCACACAAACCUUGUGAUGCCUUGGCUCUCUGUGCAGUACUGAAACUGUUGUACAUAUUGCUGGGGAUCUUACUUUCAUGUGGGAGUUGCUUCAGAAAAAUCCGUAAUACUAAGGGUACAGCCAGAGCACUCAGAAGAGGCAUGAUAUUUUUCAUAAUUCGUGGACCACGUAUGCAUACUUUAGACGUUUCUCUAUCUGCAGAACAUGUGGAUCUGAACUCUGUUUCCCACUGUAUAUUCCAGUGCCCAAAUGUUGAGUUCCUCUUCUCAGCCAACCAGUGUAACGUAUGGACCAGCUCUCUAUGCUGAGUCUAAAAGAAUCCAUUUGGUUCUAUCUCCACCCUGCUAAGUAACUGUAGAUGACACGCAUUAAUGGUCUUUGCCUCACUUUUUUGUCCUCUGUAAAACUGUGGUAGUGAUCCUGAUUUAUUUGUAAAACACGAAGUUGAAUUGAUGAGAAGAGCUAUCAAAGAGCUAAGUGUUGUCAUUACCUGAGCAAUCUUUUCAUUUCUCCGUUAAUCCUGUAAAAGACACAAGUACUCUGCUUACCAGACCUAAUCUACAAGAUGGUACAAUGGUGACGACUCAUUAUAAAUUAUAGAAAAAAAAUUCUGGGAAAGAGAUCCUUUUGGCUUGCUCCAAUUAUGCCAAUUGGACUAAGAAACUUUUUAAAAUGGGAAUUUAUCUUUACAAAGAUUUGUAGCCAAGCCUUUCCAGUUUGUUAAAAUGUAAUUAGUAUCUGCUUGUUAAUAUGAUGUUCAUUGAUUUUUAAAGUAUACAGACUUCAAAGCUGAAAAUAAAUAAAUAAAAAGAGAGAUAAUUCAAACCAGAGUGGAACAGCUCGGACAGUUUUACUCUUUUGCCAGGAUCCCAAAGCUGUUGUGUUCAAACAAUGCCACAGUUUGAGUGGAAAUGUGAGAUUAAAUCCAAACCCUGCGUGUCAGCUUUUUUGCAAAUGACUAUCCAGGAUUUCACUAAAAUGUUGAACCACAAGAGAUCAUGUUGCAGGGAAUUUUAUUGCUUAACAGCUCGUGAUAGUCUUCUGUUUCUCUAUUAUGCAUAAUAAAUAGGCCUAGGUACCUACAGCCUAGUAAAUAUCAGUGGAAUGUUGGUACCUAACUCUGUUAGACACUUUGGAAGGAAUAUUCCAAAUGGUCAAAAGAGGAAGGAGUUUACAAAGAUGAUGGAUGGUUACAGAAACUCCCAGUGAUGUAUCAAUGCAGUGCGGCACACAAGAGAAUGUACUACAUAUGGAACAGAAUUUUAUCACACUAAUGGAGAAAACUGCAAGAGUCAGGUGGAGGUAAUUUCAAAUUUGUGCAGGAGUUCAAAGCUAUGGCUGAGGAAUGACCUGAGGAGACUGCAAAACUCUAGAAAACAUCAUCUGAAGAAGAAGGCUUGAGGACAGAAAAGUGAAAAUAACCAUUCACAGAAGAAGACUAUGCAAGUGCAAGAGAAAGGAUGGAAUUAGCCACUGCAGGAGAGAUGAAGCAGAGUAAUGCGUUCGUUUGGAGAAGGAAAACAUUUCAGUAUCAAAGAAAGGAAGGGAAGAUAUCCCCCAAAGACAAAACAAGAUUGUGGAGACAGGCAGGAUUGAGACUCAACAGGACAGAAUGAGGGAGAAAAGAAGACAGAGUGAUUUUCAGACAAGCAAAAGAGAAGAGGAGAUCGUACCACACCACUGAGACUUGUGUGUCUGCGACUGUGGAUGAUUCUCUUAAUUGUUGAGAACAAGGGAGGAACAAUGUUAAGCUGAAACGUGGAGAGAUGCCUUGUCUUCCAUUCCAGCUAGGAAUGUUAGAUGUGCACAGGUGGCAAAGAGAAUAAGGAAAGGCGAUGGUAGCAAGGACUGUAUUUCAUUCAGGACAAAAUGGAAACAGGCAAAGGACAAAUCCAAUGGGAAGAGACAGUGCUUUAAGAUAGAGAUGCCCCAGUAGUUUUUCUACUGAAUCCUUCCAGUUCUUGCAGAAAAUUAUAGGGGAAGGAAAAGCGAUAUAGGCUCUCAGAAAUAGAUCUGUGAAAGAAAUUUGAGAUGUUUGGUAGCUGAGAGGCCAACACCUGAAGCAGGUACUUCUCUGAGGAUGUUAUCCAUUUGGCCGCUUGUGACACCAGCCUUCCAGUGAGUAAAGCUACCUUUCAGCUGUAAAACAGCAGGAAGUGGAUGCAAGAGUACUUUCUGAUUUAACCAACAGGAAAAGAAAAAAUCUUGAUAGGAAAUAUAGUAAGAGAUGACAGUCUUCAAAAGAGAAAAGCACACUGAAAUAGAAGUAUUAAUCCUCCACCGGUCCCAGUGUGAGAAGAUAAUUUUCUCUAAAAAGUUCGAAAUUGCCACUCAUUUGUAAUGGCAGAUUUACUGUGGGAUGCCAUCCAUGGUGAGCACAGAAGGAGGUUAGCUCUGUGAUAACAUCUAAGCCUUCAUUCCUGUACUGUAUACAACAUAAGUGUUCUGAUCUGUUUGUGUUCUUUGAAAAUUGAAGGGGGCCACCUAAGAUUAUAAACUGCUUCAUUGUUAUCCCAGACAGUCUUGACAGGAGACGCAGUCAAUGAGAACACUGUCCCAAGAGGUUAAAAAAA